RNAcentral lists this ribosomal RNA (253 nucleotides) under uncultured bacterium. RNAcentral describes it as "partial 16S ribosomal RNA". It matches the Rfam family "Bacterial small subunit ribosomal RNA", at positions 524 to 776 of the family's 1533-position model. The record is from RNAcentral.
UACGAAGGGGGCUAGCGUUGUUCGGAUUUACUGGGCGUAAAGCGCACGUAGGCGGAUCGAUCAGUCAGGGGCGAAAUCCCAGGGCUCAACCCUGGAACUGCCUUUGAUACUGUCGAUCUGGAGUAUGGAAGAGGUGAGUGGAAUUCCGAGUGUAGAGGUGAAAUUCGUAGAUAUUCGGAGGAACACCAGUGGCGAAGGCGGCUCACUGGUCCAUUACUGACGCUGAGGUGCGAAAGCGUGGGGAGCAAACAGG